AUCACUUCUCAGUCUUUUGGCUAAUAUCAAGUGUAGUAUCUGUUUUUAUCAGCUUAAUAUCUGAUAUAUCCUCUACCUGAGGACAGUGUAUCAAAUGGAUUUUUUUUUUUUUUUGAUCAGGGAGUUGGAAUAGGAGCUUGCUCUAUCCUCUCCAUGCAGUGAUCUGAUAUAGUACUGCACCCCCU
Molecule: small nuclear RNA, 185 nt
Filed under: Vulpes vulpes (red fox)
Lineage: Eukaryota; Metazoa; Chordata; Mammalia; Carnivora; Canidae
Description: U2 spliceosomal RNA (ENSVVUG00000008933.1)
Rfam family: U2 spliceosomal RNA
About the family: U2 is a small nuclear RNA (snRNA) component of the spliceosome (involved in pre-mRNA splicing). Complementary binding between U2 snRNA (in an area lying towards the 5' end but 3' to hairpin I) and the branchpoint sequence (BPS) of the intron results the bulging out of an unpaired adenosine, on the BPS, which initiates a nucleophilic attack at the intronic 5' splice site, thus starting the first of two transesterification reactions that mediate splicing.
Source: Rfam by way of RNAcentral